GACGAACGCUGGCGGCGUGCUUAACACAUGCGAGUCGAACGGAAAGGCCCUGCUUUUGUGGGGUGCUCGAGUGGCGAACGGGUGAGUAACACGUGAGUAACCUGCCCUUGACUUUGGGAUAACUUCAGGAAACUGGGGCUAAUACCGGAUAGGAGCUCCUGCUGCAUGGUGGGGGUUGGAAAGUUUCGGCGGUUGGGGAUGGACUCGCGGCUUAUCAGCUUGUUGGUGGGGUAGUGGCUUACCAAGGCUUUGACGGGUAGCCGGCCUGAGAGGGUGACCGGCCACAUUGGGACUGAGAUACGGCCCAGACUCCUACGGGAGGCAGCAGUGGGGAAUAUUGCUCAAUGGGCGGAAGCCUGAUGCAGCAACGCCGCGUGCGGGAUGACGGCCUUCGGGUUGUAAACCGCUUUCGCCUGUGACGAAGCGUGAGUGACGGUAAUGGGUAAAGAGGCACCGGCUAACUACGUG
RNAcentral lists this ribosomal RNA (468 nucleotides) under uncultured bacterium. RNAcentral describes it as "partial 16S ribosomal RNA". It matches the Rfam family "Bacterial small subunit ribosomal RNA", at positions 28 to 507 of the family's 1533-position model. The record is from RNAcentral.